AGAGUUUGAUCCUGGCUCAGAGCGAACGUUAGCGGCGGGCCUAACACAUGCAAGUCGAGCGAGAAAGGGACUUCGGUCCUGAGUAAAGCGGCGGACGGGUGAGUAACACGUAGGUAAUCUUCCCUUGAGCGGGGGACAACGGUCCGAAAGGACCGCUAAUACCGCAUACGUUUCCGAGGAUCUCGGUCCUUGGAAGGAAAGCUAGGUCGCAAGAUCCGGCACUCGAGGAGGAGCCUGCGUCGCAUCAGCUAGUUGGUGGGGUAAUGGCCUACCAAGGCGAAGACGCGUAGCUGGUCUGAGAGGAUGAUCAGCCACACUGGGACUGAGACACGGCCCAGACUCCUACGGGAGGCAGCAGUGGGGAAUAUUGGACAAUGGGCGCAAGCCUGAUCCAGCCACGCCGCGUGAGUGAUGAAGGCCUUCGGGUCGUAAAGCUCUGUGGGGAGGGACGAACCGCUGCACGUUCAUAGCGUGCAGCAUGACGGUACCUCCUUAGCAAGCACCGGCUAACUUCGUGCCAGCAGCCGCGGUAAUUC
This 536-nucleotide ribosomal RNA is filed under the name uncultured Myxococcales bacterium. Its description in RNAcentral is "bacterial SSU rRNA". It matches the Rfam family "Bacterial small subunit ribosomal RNA", at positions 8 to 526 of the family's 1533-position model. Lineage: Bacteria; Pseudomonadati; Myxococcota; Myxococcia; Myxococcales. The record is from RNAcentral.